GUGAUUGUAGCUCAGUUGGUUAGAGCACCGGGUUGUGGUCCCGGGGGCCGUGGGUUCGAGCCCCAUCAGUCACCCCA
Molecule: transfer RNA, 77 nt
Filed under: bacterium
Lineage: Bacteria
Description: tRNA-His
Rfam family: tRNA
About the family: Transfer RNA (tRNA) molecules are approximately 80 nucleotides in length. Their secondary structure includes four short double-helical elements and three loops (D, anti-codon, and T loops).
Source: RNAcentral